CCCCAAAAGAUCCCCAAAAUCAAACUACUAAGAAAUAGUAAUCAUACUAAGGUCAAAUCAAAAUCAAAGUCUUUACAUAGACCCAAAACCCCAAAGAUCCCCAAUUUAAAGCCUAAGAGCUAGUGAACUUGGUAACAGCCUUGGUCCCUUCAGAAACAGCGUGCUUAGCCAAUUCACCAGGCAACACAAGCCUCACAGCAGUCUGAAUUUCCCUAGAAGUGAUAGUAGGCUUCUUGUUGAUCCUAGCCAAUCUAGAAGCUUCCUGAGCAAGCUUCUCAAAUAUAUCAUUAAUGAAACUGUUCAUUAUACCCAUUGAUUUGCUGGAGAUACCGAUAUCUGGAUGCACCUGCUUCAGCACCUUGAAGAUGUAGAUCUUGUAGGUUUCAAUGCUCUUCUUUGCCCUCUUCUUCUUCUUGUCGGCGCUGCAACUUUUACAGAAAGAUGAAUUGGAAUUUAAAUGAAGAGAAUGCGUGAGUGAUGAGAAAUGAUGAGGAGUGGAAUCGGUGAAAUGAUAGUUAUAUAGGGUUUGGAUUCUGUUGAUUGAUUGGUUACAUUAUUUUAACGCGGAUCGUGAAUGUGAGCCGUUGAUGAAGAGUAGAAUGGACGAUCAGUAAUGGCUGUACGAGUUGUUUACAAAGAGAAAAAAAUACUCCCUCCCUUCACUUUUACUUUCCUAUAAUACUCCAUUCAUCUAUUUUUAUUUGUUCAAUUUUUUAUUUACAAAGACACUAGAAAGUAUUUUGAAUAUAAUUUUAUCAUAUUUUUUUUGAAUAUAAUAAAUUUAAUCUUUUAAAAAAUUAAACAUAUAAUAAAUCAUAUUUAAUAUUAAAAUUAAAAAUAAAUAAAUUAGUUGUUACUUUUAUAAAUUGGAUAAGUAUUGUUGAACAAUUCAAAAUAAACAAAGAAAUACAUUUUAAUUUUAUUUGUUCACUUGAGAAAUUUUAUUUUUUUUUUCUAUUUUAUCCUUCAUUGAUUAUUUCAUAGGAGUAUCAUUUUUCAAGUUCAUCAAACCAUACACCACUUAUAGGAGUAUCAUCAUAAAAUAUACAUUUCAUUUAAUAUUUAUUAAGGAUGUGUGACAUCUAUUAUGAAUUAAUUAAAAAAACAUUAUUAAGAAAAAUGUUGUUUUUUCCAUCGAAUUCAUCUUUUUUUAAGUCAUCUAUAUCUCCAAUGUAGGAAUUAAGAGAACAAACGGAAAUGAAAGAGAGAAGAAUGAAGUGAUUUUCGAGUGGGGAUCACAAAAGAGAAUGAAGGAGAGAAAAAGUGAAGUGAUUCUCAAGUAAGGAGAGGGGUGUCCUUCUUCUCUAAAAGGAAAGUAGGAAAAAGCAAAUUCAUGAACUAGACAAAAUAAGUCUAUCAUCCUCAAAUAUAAGAUCGUGAUAAUAUUGAAGCGUCUCUCACUUUGUUUGAUCUUCUUGUCUUGACUUAGAAUUUUAAGUGAACAACAUGGCCAUGGCCUUGUGAAGAAAUUUAUUCCAAUCAUUUUAAUAGAGAUCUAAUACUUAGCAGACUCUAUACUGAGUUAUAAAGAAAUUGCACAAUUUAUUUAUAUGAAAAAAAAACUUUCUCAAAAAGCACAUAUGACUCUUUCAACUCACAACUUUUCAAGAAGUCAAACCUACUUCUUGUUACCAAAUCAGACAAACACAAGUUCCGAUGACUAUCACAAUUACCAAGCUAAAUAACUAGACUCUAACAAGAUCCAAACAAGCUCACGAAAACUCUUCCUGCAAAAACUCAUAAUUGCUCUAUGCUUCGAAUGUAUAACUUCUCCUAUUUCUUGAGAAUAAAGCCUUCUCAGUAUUAGUCAAUAGGUGGUGAAAAACGGUUUUGCUCGUCUUUGAAAGGUACAAAUAUAUCCUUAAACUUUGAUAAAUGUCAUACAUAUACCUUCCGUCAUACUUUAGGUAUAAAUAUACCCUUAUCGUUAAUAAAAAAGUACAUAUAUAUCCCUAAAUUUUGAUAAAUGGUACAAAUAUACCCUCCAACAUACUCUAAGUAUAAAUAUACCCUUGUAUUAAUGAAAAGGUACAUAUAUACCCUUCUUACUAAUGGCAAGACACGUGUCACAAUCCUAUUCAUUUGGCCUUUUUAAAUUUAAUUUACCACAACCCACCUCAAAAUAAUUCUAAUUUAACUCAUAACUCGAUCCAAAUAAUAACUCAAACCCGAUCCAAUCUAAUAGAAAGAGAAAAUGAAUAUGCAUGAAUAGAGAUGCGUCUUGGAGGUUCUAUUAGAUUGGGUCGGAUUUGGAUUGUUAUUUGAAUCAAUUUGUGGGUUAAAUUAUAAUUAUUUUCAGGUAGGGUGAGGAUAAAUUAAAUUUAAAAAGUCAAAUGAACUAGAUUGUGACAUGUGUCCUGCCGUUAGUGAGAAGUGUAUAUUUGUACCUUUUCAUUAGCGAAAAAAGUAUAUUUGUACCAAAAGUAUGACGGAGGAUAUAAUUGUACCAUUUAUCAAAGUUCAGGGAUAUAUGUAUACCUUUUACUUAAUGACAAGGAUAUAUACGCACCUUUCAUUAACGACAAGGGUAUAUUUUUACCUAAAGUCUGACAGAAGAUAUAUUUAUAUAUCAUUUAUCAAAGUUUAGGGGUAUAUUCGUACCUUCUCCCUUUUAUAGAUGCUUCAUGCUCUCCUCAGCUAAAUAUAAAUUCCUGACUUGAUGAAUUAUUUCCUUGUUAAGUAAGGACAUAAAAUGCCACCUCUCUUUCAAAAACCUUGCUAUGAAGGACAUGUAAGUUACCAUAAUUUAACUUAUGCUAAAAUUAGAUUUGCUGAUUCCCUUUCUUUUGCUGAGAAGGACAUGCAAGUUAUCAUAAUUAGAUGCGUGCUAAAAUUAGAUUUUGUCUUCAUCAAAACUUGGGCAUUAAAGAGUCUUCACCUUGUCCUUUCGCCACUAGAAAAAAUUAAGCACAAUUCAUUUGAACUAUGGUCUAUGAUAAUUUUUUUAUUGAUUUUAAAGAUAUAUUUAUAUAUCAUUUAUCAAAGUUUAGGGGUAUAUUCGUACCUUCUCCCUUUUAUAGAUGCUUCAUGCUCUCCUUAGCUAAAUAUAAAUUCCUGACUUGAUGAAUUAUUUCCUUGUUAAGUAAGGACAUAAAAUGCCACCUAAAUUUCCCUUGCUAUGAAGGACAUGUAAGUUACCAUAAUUUAACUUAUGCUAAAAUUAGAUUUGCUGAUUCCCUUUCUUUUGCUGAGAAGGACAUGCAAGUUAUCAUAAUUAGAUGCGUGCUAAAAUUAGAUUUUGUCUUCAUCAAAACUUGGGCAUUAAAGAGUCUUCACCUUGUCCUUUCGCCACUAGAAAAAAUUAAGCACAAUUCAUUUGAACUAUGGUCUAUGAUAAUUUUUUUAUUGAUUUUUGACGAUGGAUUUUUGUUGAAAAUAGGAUGAAUUGAUAUAUAAUUGCUAUACUAAAACUAGAUGCGAAUUCAACUUUCACGAAUCAAAAAACUCAGUGAUAUUUUUCAAAUUCAUUCAAAAAUAAUUUCCUAUAAAUUCUAUUUCGAUUUGACAUUAAAUAUAAUUCAACUUAUUAUUUUUCAAUUUAAACUUGCAUUAUUAUCCACUUAAAAUUCAUAAUUUAUUGCACCUAUGUGAUGAUGUCAUUCUUAUCAUUUUAAAACGUUUUAUUGAUUAACACGAGAACAAGUGUAACCGUAAGCAAGUUAUUAUAAAAAAUGAGAUCAUAAAUUAAUAAUACAAACAUUUUAAUAAACAUUAAGAGCAUGUAAAUAAUUCCACCAAAAUAACUCAAUUCCAACAAACCAAAUACAUAAAUACGUGAACAAUCCUUGCAUAAAGAAAUGUCCUUAUAAGAAAAUUAAAAAGGAUAAUUAACUACUUUCUAGAUUAAACUUAUCCUCUCUUGUAUCAAAUUCAACAUGCUUUUCUCAUGGACUCAUUUUUAAGGACUACACCAAAUUCGCUUGCCAGAAAAGGAUAAUCAUCCAAAUUCAACUUUUCAACUGUGCACUUUCGGCUAAUAUAUGAGUUUGAAUCUAAAAUUAAAACUUUUGUAAAUACAAAUAUGAAAACAAAACACCUUUGAGAGUUGGAGUAAUUAAUUUCUUGCAUCUCUUAUAAAAGAAGUUGCCUGACUAUAGUAAUUCGUUUUUGCAUAUACUAUUCAAUGGAUAAACUAAAACACCACAUUAAAGAAAAAUUAUUUCAUGGCAAAGUUUAGGCAAACAGAGAAAAUAGAAAAGAACCAAAAAAAGAGACUAAUUUGAAGAACAGAAAACAAUGUAUCAUUUUGAAAAGGUAGAAUAUUGUCUAUAUUCUUCUACAAAAAUUAUGAGUUAAAUGCUUCACUAAUACUCAAGGAAAAAAUAUAGAACAAUAUGAAAUCGUUGGUAUCCCUUUACAAGAAGUACCAUUUACCUUACCAUGAUUGUAGACAACAUUCAAGCGUAACGAGAAUCGGAUCCAGAUAUGACUAUACAUACCUUAAGCAGAACGGUGCAUUUGUUUAUGGUAAAUCACGAUUAUUAUGUGCAAUGCAUAGCGAAGACAAUACACCGCAAUCAUACUCUGUUUAAGAAUUUGUUUUCCGAAACAAUAUGAUAAAUAAAAUAAUAACCAACACAGAAUUUAGGUAGAUAAUAAGCAUUGAUUCAUUUGCAGUAAUCAUAUUAAGCCAAUUACAUAUCAAACUUCCAAAACUACCAGCCUUUACAUUGACCCAAAAGAUCCCCAAAUUCAUAAAACCUAAGAGCUAGUAAACUUGGUAACUGCCUUGGUUCCUUCAGAAACAGCGUGCUUAGCCAAUUCACCAGGCAACACAAGCCUCACAGCAGUCUGGAUUUCCCUUGAAGUGAUAGUAGGCUUCUUGUUGAUCCUAGCCAAUCUAGAUGAUUCCUGAGCAAGCUUCUCAAAUAUAUCAUUAAUGAAACUGUUCAUUAUACCCAUUGAUUUGCUGGAAAUGCCGAUAUCUGGAUGCACCUGCUUCAGCACCUUGAAGAUGUAGAUCUUGUAGGUUUCAAUGCUCUUCUUUGCCCUCUUCUUCUUCUUGUCGGCGCUGCCAGCAUCCUUUGGGAGCUUCUUCCCGGCCUUGGGCUUCUUCUCAGCAGGANNNNNNNNNNNNNNNNNNNNNNNNNNNNNNNNNNNNNNNNNNNNNNNNNNNNNNNNNNNNNNNNNNNNNNNNNNNNNNNNNNNNNNNNNNNNNNNNNNNNNNNNNNNNNNNNNNNNNNNNNNNNNNNNNNNNNNAGGAACUUCCUCGGCCUUCUUCUCCUCUACUGGCUUCUUCUCAGCUGGCUUUUUCCCUGCUGCUGCCUUUGGUGCCAUUGUUGAGAGAUUCUACAGAAAGAUGAAAAGAUAUUUAGAUGAAGAGAAUGCGAGAGUGAUGAGAACUGGAAUUGGGGGGGAGGGAGAAUUAUAUAGGGUUUUGAUUCUGUUGUUUGAUUGGUUAAUUUCGGCUAACGCAGAUCGUGAAUAUGAACCGUUGAUGAAGUAGAGAAUGGACGGUCAAUAUUGUCUAUUGCAAAUAGCUACUGUCCACGUGGUCAUCUUUGAUUCGAUACUUUUGGCUUUCGCGGAUCGCCGAUUUUAAGGUGAUUGUGUUCUCUUUGGCUGGUAAUAUUUGGCUGUUAAUUUAGGUGUUUGCUCUUGCAGUAAAUCCAGUAAAAUAUUAAUGUUCAAAUAACUUAUCUUUGAAUUCUUUAAUUAAUUAUCAUUAUUUAAACCAAAAAUUGUUAAGAUGUCUUGAUAUAUUACAUCUAAAUUUUUAAUUUUUUAUACCAAAAAUUCUUUGAUUUCAUGUGCUCAAAAUAAUAAAUUGGAAAACAAAAAAACAGAAAAUUUAAUUAAAAUAUUUGAGUCCAUGUUAUUAAGAAAUUUAAUCACCUUAUUGUACCAGUAUGUUGGAUUACUUUCCUUUAGGAUAAAACGGAUAUAUCUAUUGUUGAAGUAUCGAUACCUCAAACCCACAACUUUGUCAAAUUUGAAGACAGAAUAAAUCAAACAAAGACACGAUAUUUGUCAAAAAAUGCAGCUCAAUGCACUAAAGUUUUCAUUAUGUGUGGAGUCUGGGGAAGAUCUAUUAUACACAGUAUCACCUUAAGCUAGAUAUUUGUGACUAAAAAAUAUGCUAAAAAUUAAUUGUUAAAUAUGAAGCUAGUCCUCUUAUUUAUAUCCAACAAAGGGUAGUGUGGAUAGGUGCUAUAUGACUUAUCGAAAAAGUCACAACUUAUCCAAUAUGAACACUGACGUAUCUAGGUUCGAAAUUGUGGUGCUCCGGCUCCGGUUCAAUCCGAUAUGGAACAGAUAUGCUUAUAUAAGAAAUGUAUUAAAUUCAGUAUAAGAUGGAAAAAACACUUUUGAAAUCAAGAAAAUAGUAGAAUAUUUUAAUUUUAAGGCGGAACCUUAAUGCAUUUGUGUCGAUAUAUAUAUUUGAACCUCAUGAGUAUCCAUGACCCCCAAAUCUUCAGUCCGCCACUGGAUGUGAAAAUGUGCCAUUCAAAUGGCUUCUUUUCUUCUCACGUCCUUUCCAAAAAUACAUAUUCAUUUCUCAUGAAUAACUCUUUAAGCCCAACAAACGAUAUCGUUAGAAAUUUUAUUUUAUUGUUUCAAAAUGUCUAUAUGAAUUCAUUAUUCAUGUCAACGAGUCAAGAACUUGAAAGUGAAUCAUUCGGCGAUGGAAUGUUAAUAAAACAAAAAGCCUUUAACUGAAAGUAGACGACAAAUUUUAAAUGGUAAUGUAGGGAAGGUCUAUCGCAUUGAAUCAUAUCUUUUUUCACCAUAUCACUUAUAAUGAGAGUUACAUGAAACAUACCUUGAAGAUGGUAUCUCAUUGAAUAGUUUUUUUGAGAGCAUUAUUUUCCUCAAAGAAAAAUCAUUUCAUUGAUGGAUUGUAAAUCAUUUACAUGGUUAAUAUAAUUUCAAGAAACAUAUAUGAAAUUGAAAAUUUUCUUUUUCUAUAAUUCUGUCUCAGUAAUGCUUGUGGCUCUUAUGUUUGGAUUAAGUUGUUCUACAUAGGAGCAAGAUGACCUUCUUUAGACAAUUUAUUUUGCAUCCACCUUUGAAGCAUUUCAAGUGCAGCCUUGGGCUGAUCCAUUGGAACCAUGUGGCCUGCAUCAUGGACCUUGAGGAAAGUUAAAGGCCCAUGGCUCUUUUGAACUCCUUUUUCUACACCAUCUACUGCAAAUGAAACUGAUGAGGCUUUUCCAAAGGCAUUUUGCCCUGACCAUUUCAUUGCAUGUACCCAUCUUGAAUUUCCUGUCCAUAGAAAACAAACAUAGAAUUUAAUUGUAAAUUGAGAGCUCUAAAUUGACAUCUAUAAUGAACCUGAGAAUGUUCCUGGUCAAAAUUGUAGUGUUAGUUUUGUUGGGUCACGGGUUGUUUUCGUGCAUUAUCUUUCAAACCUCCAAUUUAUUGGACCAUAAUCAUAAAACUAAUUUGUGAGACCAGAGAAUACCUCAAUUAUGCCUUUAUAUGUUGUAAUGUGACUAUUAUAUAGUAACAAUAUUUAUAUAUUUGUGUGGAUAUGAUUAUGAUGUACUGUGAGUUGUUGGCGUGACUAUACUUACAUAGUUACCAUGAUAAUUUACAUACUUGAGCUCCUACUCACACUUUCUAGGACCGGCUUUAGCAUUUUUCAGCGUAUUUUAUUUUCUGUGGUACAUGAAUUUCUUUAAGUUACUCUUUCGUUACAAAAGUUCAUUUUAUAAUUUCAGUAUCGUAAUUUGUAAAUUUAAAGUUCGAUGAUCAUACUUAAAAUUAACCAGUCGUAUCAUAGAUAUAGAAUGUAGCUCUUACCAAGCCAAUUGCAGAUAAGGUCAUAUUCCCCUGCAUAUACUAGUAGCUUGAUACCAUCUUCAAGAAGUGAAGGAAUGCCCACUUCAAGAUUCUUCAUCCAGUCCAAUUGCAUUGCCUGGUAAACUUCAGAACUGCAUGAUACAAAUUCAAUAUUCCCAACACCAAGGGCUUGUCUAACUUUUUGAUCAUUCAGGAAAGUUUCCAUUUUGGAGAAAUCAUAGCACAGAUCACCCUCACAUGUCUUCCGCACAUCAUAGUACUGCACCUCGGAGAAAUUACAAAUUCAAUAAUAUGAGUUCAACUUAUGUACACGAACAAUAUAAGAAUUUUUACGCUACUAGAUCACCUAAAAGAUUAGUAACAGGACUAUAAGCCAGAUAGCCUGCUAGCUACGUACAAGAAGUUAAAAUUUACUGAUAGUAUCAAAACGAGAUUGCUCUUACAUUUUUGUCACCAGCAAUGUUCAUUAUCUUGUUGAAGAUGCUUGUACAAACAAGAUAUGCAGCCAUACAAUCAACUCCUCCACUUUUUCCUAAUUAUUAUUUGCACAUAGAACAACCAAUGUCAACUCUAUCUACUAUGCUGUAUGAAGAAGACUUUGAAGAUCUAAACAAACAAAAAAUGAAAAAGGAAUUACCACAAAGCUGAAUUGCCUGUUGACAUUUUGGAUAUGUCUUCUCUAUGACAUUGUAAUCAGAUUUUUUGAUCAAUUUCAUAUCCAGAGCAUAGUCAGUGUAGGCUUUGUACUGAAUUUCUGGAUCAGUCAGCCCAUUACCAAUGGCAAAUCCCUAAAAAAAAAUGUACUUACGCUUAAGUUAGCAUGAUAACUAUCUGGUUAAAAGCAAAAGGUGUGGUAUAAUGAGACGACAACAAUAACAACAUAUCUAGUAUCUUUCCGCAAGUGGGGCAACGGUAUACUGAGACAAUUAGUUGAAAAAAUACCUUGAGAUUUACGUAGAUUCCUUCUUUGUUUUUGUUUCGACGGUAUACUGAGACAAUUAGUUGAAAAAUACCUUGAGAUUUACGUAGAUUCCUUCUUUGUUUUUGUUUCCUUGGUGAACCCGAGAAGCAAAUGCAGGAAUGUAAUGACCAGCAUAUGAUUCUCCAGUAAUAUAGAAAUCAUUUUUUGCAUACUGAGGAUGUGCCUUGAAGAAGACCUAUAUAUACAUGUCAUCAAAAGAAUGACCAUUUUGAAUUUUGAAAAUUCAUCGAACCAUUUCAACGUUAAUGUUAUAAGUUAAUUAUAAAUUCAAAAAUUUAAACAAAAAGGGAGGAGGACAAACCUGCAAGAAAUCAUAGAGGUCGUUGCUUACGCCCCUUUCAUCGUGACGAAUGUCAUCUUCACUUGAGCUAUAACUAAAUCCAGUUCCAGUUGGUUGAUCAACGUAUAUCAGAUUUGAGCCCUGUUAAAAAUUGCAAUUUUAAUUUCAUUUGUAACUAUAUACAUAUAUUUUAACUUAUUGUAACAGUUUACCUAUUUUAUUUUUGCACGUUACGAGUCUCACUUUAAACAAAGAGAAGCUAGUCACUAAUGUCAAUCAGGUUGAACUACCUUUUGAAUUUCUAUAAUUCUAGAAGUCACAACUAAUAAACAGCAAGUUUUUUUUUUUUUUCUAAAAAAAAAACAAAGAAAUGGUAGUAGGUGAAAAGGUACUUUGCAUGAUGGAGAAAGGUUGAAAAAACAAGCAAAAACAUGGAGGGAAUUCUUUUACACCAUCUUCAAAAGAUCUAACUAACUAACUUUUUGAAAUUUAAUUGGGUGACACCUAAAAAUACAAAUAAAAGAAGACAAAAACAAGGAAAAAACAAGAACCUUGUCCCAGCCAAAAUCAUUCCAGACAAGAGACAUGUUGUCUGCAAUUUUGAAAGGUCCAUUUUCAUAAAACACAGCCAAUUCACUGCUACAUCCUGGCCCUCCUGUUAGCCAUAUAACUACUGGAUCAUUCUUCCUGCUCCUCGAUUCAAAGAAAAAAUAAAACAUCCUGCAAAAAAACAUUAUUUUAAAAAAAAAAAAACACAUAAUUCAGAAUUAAUCAUGAUUCUUUUUUCUUUUAACAAAUCAAAAUGAACAUCUAAUCCAAUUCAAACAGAGGCAUUUGCAUGUGUUUGUAUCUUGCUAGUUUGUUGUAAUCCAGUUCAAACAGAUAAUUAGCAUUAAUAGACAACACCCAUGAUUCUUCUUCUUUUUUUUUCUUUUUGAUCAAAAUGAACAUUAAAUCUAAUUCAAAACAGAUAAUUUAGCAUUAAUAAACAACAAUCCAGGUUCUUUUUUUGAUCAAAAUGAACAUUUAAUCUAAUUUUAACAGAUAAUUUAGCAUAAAUUAUAUAACUAAAAAAAUAAGAAAGAGUCGUCCACCCAACUGAUUAAAGUAAAAAUAGCCUCCGCGCAUAUAUGUGUAUGAUCACGUAUAAGCCCGGCUAUUCGUGUAAAGAUCCCUAUUAACAACAACAUGAUUCUUUUUUUUAUUUUUUUUAUCAGAAUGAACACUUAAUCCAAUUCGAACAGAUAAUUUAUCAUCAAUAAACAACACACACCAUGAUUCAUAUUCGAACAUUUAAUCUAAUCCAAACCUUGCAUCUUUAGUAUGUGGAAGACGAUAAUAACCAGCAUGAUGACCCAAAUCUUGAACAGUAGCUCCAGAAUCACCAAUAUAAGACAAAUUCAGUUUCUUCUCAAAUAAACUCUGAUCAGUAACCGCUCCAUAAUCCCCUAUCGCCUUGUUAAUUUCAUGUUUGGGGAAUAAAUUAAGCUGUCUGAUUAGCUUCUCCGCCAUUGUAAUCGGAAAUUUAGGAGCAGAAGAUAAGAAAACAACAUCGCCAUCGUUAGACUUUACAGAUGAUGAGAAAGAUAGAGAAACGGAGUGAAAAGGCAAAGCAAGGAAAAGAAGAGAGAAAUAAAAUGAAGACAUUAUUAGAGUUUUAUUUUUGUGUGUGUGAAGAAAUGGAAUUGUAUAGAGUGUGAGAUUUAUAAGGAGGAAGAGGAGUAGUUGGUAUGUAUGUAUGUGUAAGAAAGAAAGAGUGAGAGAGAGAAAAGUGGGGGGAAAAAGGAAAAAGAGAGUUAACGGGCGGUUUGUUUGUUUAACUGUGGUGCUAAUGCGGACAAACUGGUCAAGUACAUACAUAUUCGUCGCAGGGAAAAAGGUGGAUAACGCAACGAUUCUUCUUGUCUUUUUUUUUUCUUUUCUUUUUUUUUAUAUUUAUUUAAGCUUUUUUUUUUUUAGGAAAAUAAAAAUUGGGGUGGGGAAAGUGGAAAAUGAGGGAUGAGAUUAUGGCCCCAUUUGGUCAUGAAAAUUACAUUUUUUUCGGAGUUAGAGUUGGAGUUGAAGAUAAAUUGGAGUUAGAGUUGUGCUUGACCAUGAAUAUAAAUUAAAGUUGUGUUUUAAAAUUUUGUGAGAGAAGUAUGAGUGAAAAUAAGUAAAACUUGUUUUUACUUUUCCAGAUAAUUUUUCGGAAUUGAAAUUGAAAAAUUCAUGACCAAACACUGGGUGUUUUCACUUUUUUCACUAAAGUGAAAUAAUUUUUCGAAAAAAAAGAUAAAAAUUCUAUGGCCAAACUGCUACUAUAAGUUAUGGAAUCAAACGCUCCCUUAAAAAUUUGACCGACUGAGUCAGAGAUGGAUCCAAAAUUUAAAGUUUAUGGGUUUC
Molecule: long non-coding RNA, 11390 nt
Filed under: Capsicum annuum
Lineage: Eukaryota; Viridiplantae; Streptophyta; Magnoliopsida; Solanales; Solanaceae
Description: long non-coding RNA (CANN_LNC009200)
Source: RNAcentral